Molecule: ribosomal RNA, 482 nt
Filed under: uncultured bacterium
Lineage: Bacteria
Description: bacterial SSU rRNA
Rfam family: Bacterial small subunit ribosomal RNA
Source: RNAcentral
GAUGAACGCUAGCGGCAAGGCUUAACACAUGCAAGUCGAGGGGUAGAGGAAGCUUGCUUCUCUUGAGACCGGCGCACGGGUGCGUAACGCGUAUGCAAUCUACCUUGUACAGGGGAAUAGCCCAGAGAAAUUUGGAUUAAUGCCCCAUAGUAUAUAACCUUCGCAUGUUGGUUAUAUUAAAGUUCCAACGGUACAAGAUGAGCAUGCGUCCCAUUAGUUAGUUGGUAAGGUAACGGCUUACCAAGACGAUGAUGGGUAGGGGUCCUGAGAGGGAGAUCCCCCACACUGGUACUGAGACACGGACCAGACUCCUACGGGGGGCAGCAGUGAGGAAUAUUGGUCAAUGGUCGCAAGACUGAACCAGCCAUGCCGCGUGCAGGAAGACGGUCCUAUGGAUUGUAAACUGCUUUUAUACAGGAAGAAACCCUCCCACGUGUGGGAGCUUGACGGUACUGUAGGAAUAAGGAUCGGCUAACUCCGUG